CUGAACUUAAGCAUAUCAAUAAGCGGAGGAAAAGAAACUAACAAGGAUUCCCCUAGUAGCGGCGAGCGAAGCGGGAAGAGCUCAAAUUUAUAAUCUGGCACCUUCGGUGUCCGAGUUGUAAUCUCUAGAAAUGUUUUCCGCGUUGGACCGCACACAAGUCUGUUGGAAUACAGCGGCAUAGUGGUGAGACCCCCGUAUAUGGUGCGGACGCCCAGCGCUUUGUGAUACAUUUUCGAAGAGUCGAGUUGUUUGGGAAUGCAGCUCAAAUUGGGUGGUAAAUUCCAUCUAAAGCUAAAUAUUGGCGAGAGACCGAUAGCGAACAAGUACCGUGAGGGAAAGAUGAAAAGCACUUUGGAAAGAGAGUUAACAGUACGUGAAAUUGUUGGAAGGGAAACGCUUGAAGUCAGACUUGCUUGCCGAGCAAUCGGUUUGCAGGCCAGCAUCAGUUUUCCGGGAUGGAUAAUGGUA
This 468-nucleotide ribosomal RNA is filed under the name Rhodotorula mucilaginosa. Its description in RNAcentral is "partial small subunit ribosomal RNA". It matches the Rfam family "Eukaryotic large subunit ribosomal RNA", at positions 28 to 502 of the family's 3401-position model. The record is from RNAcentral. Lineage: Eukaryota; Fungi; Basidiomycota; Microbotryomycetes; Sporidiobolales; Sporidiobolaceae.